RNAcentral lists this ribosomal RNA (258 nucleotides) under uncultured bacterium. RNAcentral's name for it is "partial 16S ribosomal RNA". It matches the Rfam family "Bacterial small subunit ribosomal RNA", at positions 524 to 776 of the family's 1533-position model. The record is from RNAcentral.
UACGAGGGGGGGCGAGCGUUUGUUCGGAAUUAUUGGGCGUAAAGGGUGCGUAGGCGGUUUGGUAAGUCUUAUGUGAAAUCUACAGGCUCAACUUGUAGUCUGCAUGAGAAACUGCCGGGCUUUGAGUGUGGGAGAGGUGAGUGGAAUUCCUGGUGUAGCGGUGAAAUGCGUAGAUAUCAGGAGGAACACCUGUGGCGAAAGCGGCUCACUGGACCAUAACUGACGCUGAUGCACGAAAAGCGUGGGGUAGCAAACAGG